GAUGAACGCUGGCGGCGUGCCUAAUACAUGCAAGUCGAGCGAACAGGCGCGGAGUUUGUUCCUCUCACGUUUGCGGCGGACGGGUGUGUAACACGUGGAUAACCUACCUCUAAUACUGGGAUAACUUCGGGAAUCCGGCGCUAAUCCCGGAGAAUAUAUUUAACCGUAUGGUUCAAUAGUGAAAUACGGUUUUGCUGUCACUUAUCGAUGUAUCCGCGCCGCAUUAGCUAGUUGGUAAAGUAACGGUUUACCAAGGCAACGAUGCGUAGCCGGCCUGAGAGGGUGAUCGGGCACACUAGAACUGACGCCCGGACCGGACUCCUGAGGGAGGCAGCAGUCGGGAAUGAGGCGGAAUGGGGGAAAGUCUGACGGAGGGACGCCGCGUGAGUGAUGAAGGUCUUCGGGUCGUAAAACUCUGUUAGUAGGGAAGAACAAAUGUGUAAGGAACUAUGGACGUCGUGACGGUACCUGAUCAGAAAGCCCCGGCUAACUACGUG
RNAcentral lists this ribosomal RNA (497 nucleotides) under uncultured bacterium. Its description in RNAcentral is "partial 16S ribosomal RNA". It matches the Rfam family "Bacterial small subunit ribosomal RNA", at positions 28 to 507 of the family's 1533-position model. The record is from RNAcentral.